Molecule: ribosomal RNA, 1438 nt
Filed under: uncultured organism
Description: SSU rRNA
Rfam family: Bacterial small subunit ribosomal RNA
Source: RNAcentral
AUCUACAGGCUUAACACAUGCAAGUCGAGGGGCAGCAUGGUCUUAGCUUGCUAAGACUGAUGGCGACCGGCGCACGGGUGAGUAACACGUAUCCAACCUGCCGUCUACUCUUGGACAGCCUUCUGAAAGGAAGAUUAAUACAAGAUGGCAUCAUGAGUCCGCAUGUUCACAUGAUUAAAGGUAUUCCGGUAGACGAUGGGGAUGCGUUCCAUUAGAUAGUAGGCGGGGUAACGGCCCACCUAGUCUUCGAUGGAUAGGGGUUCUGAGAGGAAGGUCCCCCACAUUGGAACUGAGACACGGUCCAAACUCCUACGGGAGGCAGCAGUGAGGAAUAUUGGUCAAUGGGCGAGAGCCUGAACCAGCCAAGUAGCGUGAAGGAUGACUGCCCUAUGGGUUGUAAACUUCUUUUAUAAAGGAAUAAAGUCGGGUAUGCAUACCCGUUUGCAUGUACUUUAUGAAUAAGGAUCGGCUAACUCCGUGCCAGCAGCCGCGGUAAUACGGAGGAUCCGAGCGUUAUCCGGAUUUAUUGGGUUUAAAGGGAGCGUAGAUGGAUGUUUAAGUCAGUUGUGAAAGUUUGCGGCUCAACCGUAAAAUUGCAGUUGAUACUGGAUAUCUUGAGUGCAGUUGAGGCAGGCGGAAUUCGUGGUGUAGCGGUGAAAUGCUUAGAUAUCACGAAGAACUCCGAUUGCGAAGGCAGCCUGCUAAGCUGCAACUGACAUUGAGGCUCGAAAGUGUGGGUAUCAAACAGGAUUAGAUACCCUGGUAGUCCACACGGUAAACGAUGAAUACUCGCUGUUUGCGAUAUACGGCAAGCGGCCAAGCGAAAGCGUUAAGUAUUCCACCUGGGGAGUACGCCGGCAACGGUGAAACUCAAAGGAAUUGACGGGGGCCCGCACAAGCGGAGGAACAUGUGGUUUAAUUCGAUGAUACGCGAGGAACCUUACCCGGGCUUAAAUUGCAGAUGAAUUACGGUGAAAGCCGUAAGCCGCAAGGCAUCUGUGAAGGUGCUGCAUGGUUGUCGUCAGCUCGUGCCGUGAGGUGUCGGCUUAAGUGCCAUAACGAGCGCAACCCUUGUUGUCAGUUACUAACAGGUUCCGCUGAGGACUCUGACAAGACUGCCAUCGUAAGAUGUGAGGAAGGUGGGGAUGACGUCAAAUCAGCACGGCCCUUACGUCCGGGGCUACACACGUGUUACAAUGGGGGGUACAGAGGGCCGCUACCACGCGAGUGGAUGCCAAUCCCAAAAACCUCUCUCAGUUCGGACUGGAGUCUGCAACCCGACUCCACGAAGCUGGAUUCGCUAGUAAUCGCGCAUCAGCCACGGCGCGGUGAAUACGUUCCCGGGCCUUGUACACACCGCCCGUCAAGCCAUGGGAGCCGGGGGUACCUGAAGUGCGUAACCGCGAGGAGCGCCCUAGGGUAAAACUGGUGACUGGGG